This is a long non-coding RNA of Columba livia (rock pigeon), 2876 nucleotides long. RefSeq lists it as uncharacterized. The transcript has 2 exons. The record is from RefSeq and is a predicted model, not a curated record. Lineage: Eukaryota; Metazoa; Chordata; Aves; Columbiformes; Columbidae.
GAUUCAGGCAUAUUGCCUCAUGAGCUAUAUACUGCCUCAAAAUGCAUUACUGAGAUAAGUAGUUAAUGACAUAUUAACUUUCCCUCCAACGCAAUAAAAUAACAACUGUCCGUUUGAAAUGUUAUAAGCAUUUCUCUUUAUUGAAUGCUAGUGGUGGAUAAACAGAUUUGAAGGAAGUCAAUGCUCAAAUGGCUUAUCUCUAUUAAUAGAUGGUUAUUGCAAUACUUUCAAACCUGUAAACGUUCUUAGUCUUUGCUUUCCUAAAAGAAAUUGGAGUGGGAGCCUGCGUGUGUGUGUGUGCAUGCGUGUGUGCAGAACUCAGCAACUACAGGAUGCUGACAUGACUGUGGGUCUGUCUUCCCCAUCCACAGCACAGGUCCUUGUUUUUGUUGGACCUUGUACUUCUUCAGAGAAAGUCACCUUAGUCUCUCAUUUGCAGGCAGGGUAUCUCAGACACAUCACCCUGUGUGUCCACUAUGCUUAUUCCCUAGGUGAAUAGUCUCUGCAUGAGAAAAUGUCCCCUCUGGGAGCUGGUAACUGGCAAAUAACAGAGUCCCCAGAUUGCUUGCCAGAAUAGGUGUGGAUUUACUUAUGGCGUGAAGGACCAGCCCUGGGACAGGAAGCAGACCAGUGACCCAGCCUGUUCCAGAAGAAACACUCAACAUGGAGGUCCUUCUCCUGGUUAGAUCCCACCCUAGCAGUAUCUGGAUGCCUUUUUUUCCCCUUACCCAUCAUUUACAUUGUAGUUAGAACCCCCUCCCAAGCAAAACAGGGUUUGUACAUUAAAAGAAGUGAAGCCAGAAAUUCAUCUAUGUCUUACACUACCGGAGCUAGGCUUUCAGAAAAACAACAACUACUUCACAUAAAUGAGCCACUAGGAGAGUUAUGCCCCUGGGAGAGGUUUAACCCUGCACAUCAUCUUUUAUACUUGCGGUACUUCCUUGCAGACACAAAGAAAGCGAUGAAUCUGAUGGUCACCUCUGUGCUGCUCAUAUAUCUGUGCUGCACGCAUGCUGCUGAGACCAGGUGCAAAAUCUGUCCUCCCAGGCAUAUUUCACACUUUUUUAUACACAUCUGUCUGCCUAUAGUUCACAGUGGGGAAUGAUAUCUACCUGAGUGAGUCUGGUACUGCACUUCUUAUCAGUCAGACACUGAUAUGUGGCGAGCUCCUCUCUCUUAAGUUCUUCUUGCUCUUCUUCUGCCAAGGUGGAACGGGGCUGCAUGGGCCCACCAGUGGCUCUGGUCUGCUAGCAGGGAUCUGGACCACUCUGGGCUGUGUGGAGUAUCUGCAGCAGCUGCUGCAAGGAGACCUGGGCAGGCAUUGGUGUGGGGCUUCCCUAGCCUUACAAAUCCACCUACACUCACAGCUCCCACAGGGACACACCCUCAGGCUUUCAACCAGUCCUGAUUUGUUUGACACCUCAGCUCAACAUGACAGAAUUGCUGUACAGCACUUCAGGAUACAUUUAUACUGGAGCAACAAAUAUUCUGUGUUUAUUCAGGAAUGGCCUGUGGGCAUCGGACACUGGGGGUAAGAAGCCCUUCUCUUCAAACAGGGGCAGAUAGACCACGGCUUGAGAUGAUGAGAGUAUGUUUGGGUGUUGGCCCAUCACCUGUGGGAAAUCUUGCAGUGGCUGUUGAAGAGAGAGUCUCUGCUGACUGCCUGUUCUGCCCCUUAGCCAGAGGUCCUCACUGUCCUGGAGUCAGUGAAAGGAAGUCUCCUUCCAUGGGAUCCAGUGUCUGAGCUCAAAUCACUGAUGAAGCUGCUUCAGUCUAAGAUUUUUACCUGAGACAGUAGCAGGUGUGGACCUCUGCCACUCCUGCCACAGGAAGAGCAAACGGGUAGAAGCUGAUGAAUCACCAGAAGGCUGAGGACCAAAAUCUCUUUCAACCACUAUAUCAAGGUUCACCUCCAUGUUUCUGGAGAGAUACUGUCCAUCCCAGGCAUAAUGCCUAUGAGGAAUCUACCUUGUUGACAGUAACUCUAGUUUUCCAUGGUAUCUGCUUUGAUUUCUCACUGGCAUUGCAAAGCAACAAGUAAUGAACUUCACUUACCUCUACCUUGCCCUCUCUCUUCCUUUUAUGCUUGUGGCUUUUCUAGCAGUAGCUGCCUAUGUACACUUUCCACCAUCCAAAUAAAUUGCACAUUUGGGCAUGAUGUGAAAUGUCUCUCUCAAUCACCUUUUUGCUGCAUUUAUCCCCAUAAAUAUAAAUUGCUAAAAGAGCAGAUGGCCUGGAUACGUAAACUUUAUUAUAGGUAACAGAAGAGGGGCUGUAGCAGAUGAGAACACGCUGUGCUCAUGUUUUUUCUGUAAGUGACCCAGUGGUACCUUUAAAAUAGGAAGAGGAAAGGUCUGGCUUGUACUGGAAAAGCUGAGACAGCCCGGAGGUUUAGGUGUAAUUUGCGCCAUCAGGCGCAACAUAUAGUAAUCUUGCUUGAUGAUGUUUUAUGCCUGCUCUGAUUCUCAUCUGUGAAUAAUGGAAGAUGGCACUGCCAGAGGAGAAAGGACAACUUGUGCUAUUAACUCUGCUCUACUGUCAAUUUCUUCCUAUCUUAUUCUCCUUUCUUUUCUCUUAUCAAGCCCCUUUCUUUUUUUUUCGUCUCAGUUGUUUGUGAAAUAUAAAGAAAGGAUACUUACAUAUUUUCCUCUCCAUUACGAGCACUCCAGUUGCCAGAUCUGUGUGUCCAUGAGCCAACGUGUGUGUUGUGUUCAAGGGCUGUUAAACGUCACGUAACCGAACCAGAAUAUUUCAGUCUUGUGGCACUGACAAGCUCCACUCAUGUGUAACGCAUGCCUUUCCUUAGCUCAAAAGAGAUGUUGUUUCCCUUGACGGAUCCACCUCUGGAUUCCUGGAAAUAAAGUUGGGUAAAAUUG